AAGAUUCAUAUAUAAAUAUAAUUAUUUUUCUAGAA
RNAcentral lists this transfer RNA (35 nucleotides) under Cuerna cf. mexicana SK-2014. Its description in RNAcentral is "partial tRNA-Leu". The record is from RNAcentral. Lineage: Eukaryota; Metazoa; Arthropoda; Insecta; Hemiptera; Cicadellidae.